Molecule: ribosomal RNA, 462 nt
Filed under: uncultured bacterium
Lineage: Bacteria
Description: bacterial SSU rRNA
Rfam family: Bacterial small subunit ribosomal RNA
Source: RNAcentral
GAUGAACGCUGGCGGCGUGCUUAACACAUGCAAGUCGAGCGAAGCACCUUGACGGAUUUCUUCGGAUUGAAGCCUUGGUGACUGAGCGGCGGACGGGUGAGUAACGCGUGGGUAACCUGCCUCAUACAGGGGGAUAACAGUUGGAAACGGCUGCUAAUACCGCAUAAGCGCACAGUACCGCAUGGUACGGUGUGAAAAACUCCGGUGGUAUGAGAUGGACCCGCGUCUGAUUAGGUAGUUGGUGGGGUAACGGCCUACCAAGCCGACGAUCAGUAGCCGACCUGAGAGGGUGACCGGCCACAUUGGGACUGAGACACGGCCCAAACUCCUACGGGAGGCAGCAGUGGGGAAUAUUGCACAAUGGGGGAAACCCUGAUGCAGCGACGCCGCGUGAGCGAUGAAGUAUUUCGGUAUGUAAAGCUCUAUCAGCAGGGAAGAAAAUGACGGUACCUGACUAAGAAG